Molecule: ribosomal RNA, 253 nt
Filed under: uncultured bacterium
Lineage: Bacteria
Also listed under: 1 other name
Description: partial 16S ribosomal RNA
Rfam family: Bacterial small subunit ribosomal RNA
Source: RNAcentral
UACGUAGGGAGCAAGCGUUGUUCGGAUUUACUGGGCGUAAAGGGCGCGUAGGCGGCCUGUCAAGUCAAUUGUGAAAUCUCCGAGCUUAACUCGGAACGGCCAAUUGAUACUGUCAGGCUAGAGUGCAGAAAGGGCAAUCGGAAUUCUUGGUGUAGCGGUGAAAUGCGUAGAUAUCAAGAGGAACACCUGAGGCGAAGGCGGGUUGCUAGGCUGACACUGACGCUGAGGCGCGAAAGCCAGGGGAGCAAACGGG